Molecule: unclassified non-coding RNA, 300 nt
Filed under: uncultured Hydnangiaceae
Lineage: Eukaryota; Fungi; Basidiomycota; Agaricomycetes; Agaricales
Description: sequence contains ITS2
Rfam family: 5.8S ribosomal RNA (bases 1-52)
Source: RNAcentral
AACGCACCUUGCGCUCCUUGGUAUUCCGAGGAGCAUGCCUGUUUGAGUGUCAUUAAAUUCUCAACCUUCCAUGUUUUAUUAGCAUGGUUAGGCUUGGAUGUGGGGGUUGCGGGCUUCAUCAAUGAUGUCAGCUCUCCUUAAAUGCAUUAGCGGAACUUUUGUGGACCGUCUAUUGGUGUGAUAAUUAUCUACGCCGUGGAUGUGAUGCAGCUUUAUGAAGUUCAGCUUCUAACCGUCCAUUGACUUGGACAAUUUUGACAAUUUGACCUCAAAUCAGGUAGGACUACCCGCUGAACUUAA